Molecule: long non-coding RNA, 2779 nt
Organism: Drosophila guanche
Lineage: Eukaryota; Metazoa; Arthropoda; Insecta; Diptera; Drosophilidae
Exons: 2
Source: RefSeq, a predicted model, not a curated record
UUUGGUUUACUCCAACACACACAUACAAUGAAACAGAUACCGAUAUAAACAGAUGCAAUAAACAAGAGAAAAUUGACAAAGAUUGGGGCGCCUUCCCAAGCAAACGGUGGCGCCCCAAAACAAUAGCCCAGUAAUAUUAUUAUUAUUUCUAAUAGGGCGCAUCUUUGUAAUCCCCCGAGGAUUAAAGAUGCGCCACAAGAACCGUCGUCAACAGAAGUACAACCAAAAUGAAUCGCAACCCAUUGGCACCACCAAGAAUCAAGAAUUAAGCAGAAUCAGUUACAGUCCCUGCCACUGCCCCGCACCAACCACGAGAAUGAUGAUGAUGAUGAUGAUGAUGUUGCAGUUGCCGGAAAGGGGGCCAGACGUUUGUCCAAAUUCUACACGAAAUUUUAUGUAAAACAGCUGUAGGAGCAAACGAAAAACGCAAUUCCAACCAGCCACCGCCCCCGCCCGAACACGCGAAACAGCGGGUAACAAUCGAUUUUCAGUUUCAAGUUAUUCCUUCUCGGCGAUCGGUCCGGUUUCGAUCGAUCGCGUUCCUAUGAUUUAUAGAGACGAAGAGAGAGAGAGAGAGAGAGAGAGAGCGAGAGAGACAUGCUCCUGGGAUCCGAACCCCCGCCCCAGAACAGAGGGAUAGCAAAGGAGGCCUAGGGGCAUGUGUAAGAUAUGUACUAUAAUAAAAGUAAACGAAAAAACGAUAAGCAAACAAAUGAAACAACAAUAUUUAUACAGAGACUGCAAACAAAUGUGAUCAGAUAUUUUAUAAUAUAUAAGUUUACAGAGCAAGAUACAGCAAGAUACAGCAUAUAGCCAGAAUCAGAAAACAGAAACAGAAACAGAAACAGAAAAACAGAAUCAGAACCAGAAAUCUAGUUAUAUAGCCGAACGAUCAAAUCAAAAGCAAAACAACAACAACAACAACAGCAACAACAACCACAGUAACAGUAAACCAGUACAGUUAGCAUAGAACGUAACGAGUAACGAGUAAAGCAGUAACGAGAGCAGCAAGAUCGUGAGCAAGGACUCGCAACGAGUCGAAUAGUAACACGUAAGAAACAAAACAAAAACCUAUUUAUAAUAAUAUUUUUUACAAUAGAAUAUACAACUAAAUAUAGCAAAACGACAAACAAACCGAGCGGGAGGCGCACAGCAGAGAAUACCCCAAAUACCUACAUCCAGUUCCUUGUCCCCGAAUCGUAUAAUCAUAUCCCGAAACCCUCGAGCCAGAUGCUGACGUGCUGUCGCCUCUACGCGCAACAGUUGCCUUUCACAGAAACAAUUUACCAUUUAAGUUACCAAUAGUGAAAUAGACAAGCCAGAACGGUGCCACGCAGUUGCAGUGGCGCCGCCGUUUUCCCAGCCAGUUUUUAGUUGAGCAACUUUUCGGUUCAUUUCGAGUACUACAGAGCAGAGUGCAGAAUGCAGUGCAGAGGUUUAUCAUUUCAAUGUUCAUACAAAGGUUAUAUUUAGUUCAAGGAGAAGAAACAGAAGCAGUCAUCAGUCGAGCAGAGAACUAACCAAUAAAUAAUGAAUACACACACACACACACACAACCAAACACACUCACAGAUAUACUAAAAUGUUUGUUACAUAGUUUUGAUUUAAAUCCGUUGAGUGAGUCAAGUUUUUCAGUUGGAUCAACAAAGUUAGGAGCCAUUAUUGUCAUGAGUUGAAGUCACAUUCAAGAAUUAUGCAAAAUUAAGCAAAACCCUUGAGUUCUGAACAACAAUAGUGCCGGUAAUAUUUAUAAGAUAAGUGAAACCAUAUAUAUACAUAUAUGUAUGUAUGUAUAUGCGUAGAAAUAUAUAUAUAACAAAUACAUACUCUAGACGUCGUAAUCCGUAUUUCAGCAUAGCUAAAAAAUGUUCUAAAUGUACACUGAAUACAACCCCCAAUAAAAACAAAGCAACAAAAUGAAAUGAAAUGAGGUCACUAUUUAAGUUAGGUGUUGGUGUGGCUACGACCGACUUUGAAAUAAGAUGUGUAUGUAAAAAAACAAACUUACUAUAAAAGGAAUUCGAUGGAUCCUACCCCUUAAUCCAAUGUUAAGUUCUUAAAAUUGCUAUGUAUCCACCACUAUCAGUAUAUAGAACAUACGAUAUACAUAUGUGUAGCCCUGAAUCCCUUCCUUGAGUUUUGGUGACCAUCUUCUAGGUGAUCCUCAGUGCAGCAUAAAAAACCCAGCGAAUGUGUGCGUGGCCAGAGCGUGGACAGUUCUCAAGCCUAGAAAAUAAAACCAAUUGGCCGGCCAGGCAGGGCCAGAAGAUCGGCUCAGGGCUGGCCGGGCACCUCCAGGACAUCCAGAACCGUUUCGCACCAUAGAACUCAAGGCAAUACAAGCAAUCCAGAGGUACGAGAGAGAAUAAAAGGAAGAAGCAACAGCAGAAGCAGAAACAGAAGAAACAGAAGCAGAAGCAGCUGCAUGAAAGCAAGGCAAAGGACAAGUUUCGAAUCAGAAUUUCGGUGACAUCUUUCGGCACAGUUUCGACAACUUUCGAUUAGGCUUUUGUUGUUAAUUUGUUUUUUUGCGACCACGUCUCCACGUCUCCAUAGCACACGAGCAACAUGCAGCCAGCGGCAUGCCACACACAGAAGCAAAAACAGUAGCAAACAGAAGCAGCAACCAGCCACGUGAUAAACGAGUUGAGCAAAGUGAAAAGCAAUUUUGAAAUGGGGCCACAACGUCCGAUCUAAAGUGCCUUCAAGUAACAAUGAAAAACAAAAACGAAACCAAAAGGAAAAAGAAAACAAAAAUACCAAAAAACUAAAAAUAAAA